AUGCAAACUUCAUCACACACCUGCAUCAAGAGCCUCCUUUCCUCCUUUGUAUUAUUUCUAGAGCUCCCAUUCAAGCUGCCCAAAGCUUUCUGCAUUCCAGUUUCCACUCUCCAGCCUGAGGUACAGGACUUGCAGCAGCUCCCUGAACUCAGCUCUGGUACAAGUUCUCCUGCCCGUCAGCCCACUGUGCUGCUGCCCAUCCAGGAAGACUUACCAGAAGAUACACAUGCUCAGCAUUUGUCUGCAGAGGUUUUCAACUUGCCCUGAAACUCCAUCCUGGCAAAACGUCUGACACACAUCCCAGAGCACUUCAGUUUAAGGUAACAGAAGAGAUAGCCCCUCAAAUAUAUAAAUAAUAUAUUCCCUUGUGCCCUCAGAGGCAAAAGGUGUUUGAAUGGACAAAAGAAAGCUCAGCUUGUUCACAUCCAAGGACACCAUGGGAGAGAGCAAAAUACUCUGCAUAAUUUGUAGGACUUAAAACUGCUCAUUUCACCAUACAACACUGUAUAAAAAUGAUGCACUUUAACCCAAACAGACAUACCAAGAGUGACACAGAGCAUCUUCUUGAAGAGCAAAAGGAAGCAACGCAUAUCAGCUAAGAGGGAUAAGUAAAGGAGAGUACUUUCCACAGUGAAAAUUUAGGCAGGAAGAAUAUCAUUACUGACAGCACAAUCUCACCUCUGGGAUCAAACUUGCAGUCCUGCGCAGCGCUGAAACUGCCACAUGAAUUUCCUGAAUUCCUCCAUUUUGCAUCUCAUUUACAGAAAGCCAGCUCCAGUUCUGCAAAGAUGCAAGCAUACUCAAAGAGGUUCCUUCAGGCCUAAGAGAGAUUUGUUCAAGUUAUUGAUUCCUCAUUACAAUUUCUGCUGCCCCCAAGAUAUCCAUAGAGAUCUAACAUUAGAGUACUGGCCAGUACUCUUGCUUCACUUCUAAGAGCUGAUGUGUUUACAUCUUAAGGGAAUAUUGAUCUACAGCAAAUCAUUUUUUUUUUUUUUUUUUUUUUUUUAUUUCAAGCAAGCUGAAACUCCAGUAGAAAGAGACAGGACAGUAAAAAACUUUGCUAGUGCUAAUGACAAACACCAGAAUGUAAUAACAGAGCUUUAAAGACUUAUAAAGUAAACCCAAAAAUUGUUUGCAAAUAUAAUGAGAGGGAAGUUCAUAAAUGAAAAAUAGAAUUUAGUUACAGUACCUCUUCUUAAGAGAUCUUGAGUAACAUCUGGCACAACUCACCCUUUAAAAUAUCAUUACUGUUAAUUUGUUUACAAAAGACUUAGGAGGUUAGAAGAAAAAGGGGGAGAGCUGAAAAAUAAAACCACUGAAAAGCAUCUUUCCCUCUUGCUG
RNAcentral lists this long non-coding RNA (1341 nucleotides) under Coturnix japonica (Japanese quail). Its description in RNAcentral is "lncRNA (ENSCJPG00005014670.1)". Lineage: Eukaryota; Metazoa; Chordata; Aves; Galliformes; Phasianidae. The record is from RNAcentral.